AAUCANUUGUCUUUUNNNUGAANACCUGUAUGAAUGGCACGACGAGGGCUUAACUNUCUCCUUUCUCCAGUCAAUGAAAUUGAUCUCCCCGUGCAGAAGCGGGGAUAAAGCCAUAAGACGAGAAGACCCUAUGGAGCUUUAGAUAUCAAAGCAGCUCGUGUUAAUCACCUCCAAAAAAGGAGUAAAACAAAACGAACCCUGUUUGAAUAUCUUUGGUUGGGGCGACCGCGGGGAAAUAAAUAACCCCCACGUGGACUGGGGGCACUUGCCCCUAAAACCAAGAACUACAGUUCUAGUUAACAGAAUUUCUGACCAUACAGAUCNNGCAAAGCCGAUCAACGAACCGAGUUACCCUAGGGAUAACAGCGCAAUCCCCUUCUAGAGC
Molecule: ribosomal RNA, 385 nt
Filed under: Macroramphosus scolopax (longspine snipefish)
Lineage: Eukaryota; Metazoa; Chordata; Actinopteri; Syngnathiformes; Centriscidae
Description: partial 16S ribosomal RNA
Rfam family: Bacterial large subunit ribosomal RNA
Source: RNAcentral